Molecule: long non-coding RNA, 240 nt
Filed under: Brassica napus (rape)
Lineage: Eukaryota; Viridiplantae; Streptophyta; Magnoliopsida; Brassicales; Brassicaceae
Description: long non-coding RNA (BNAP_LNC011414)
Source: RNAcentral
UGUGAGAUUUUCAGAGAUCUCAGGCUGUGUGUUUGUGUGAAACCCAAUAGGGCAGAGAGAGAGAGAGUUUGAUUUAGAUGAUUUAGAGAUAGAUAGAUUAGUGGAAGUGUUUAUGAGUGAUUAAGUGUUUACUCAGAUCAGAAACAAAAGACUUUGAGAGAUUAGGAGUUUAGAGACUAAGAAAGGGAGAGAUUAAGGGAUUCUGAUCCAAGAAUACUUUUCUAUUACGAAGGAGAAGGG